This is an RNA transcript of Quercus lobata, 1704 nucleotides long. RefSeq lists it as uncharacterized. Lineage: Eukaryota; Viridiplantae; Streptophyta; Magnoliopsida; Fagales; Fagaceae. The record is from RefSeq and is a predicted model, not a curated record. The transcript has 8 exons.
AUGGGUUUGAAAAGAAAAAUGAAGCUCUUUACUUUGAUACUUUUCUUAGCUCCCUUCUUGCUUGGUUGUAAUGGCGAUGUUAGCAGCCUCAUCAACUCGUCUCUUUUUGAAAGUAUGCUUAAACAUCGAAACGAUCAAAGAUGUAAAAGUAAUGGAUUCUACACUUACAAUGCUUUCAUAACUGCUGCCCAAUCUUUCGGUGCCUUUGGCACAACUGGUGAUGUUGCUACACGUAAAAGGGAGCUUGCGGCUUUCUUUGGUCAAACCUCUCAAUGCACCACAGGAGGGUGGCCUAAAGCACCUGAUGGACCAUAUGCAUGGGGAUAUUGCUUUGUUAGGGAAGUUAACAGGCAAUCCGGAGAUCAAUAUUAUGGUCGAGGACCUAUCCAACUUUCUUACAACUACAACUACGAUCAAGCAGGAAAAGCCAUUAGAGUCAAUCUCACAAACAAUCCAGAUCUUGUAGCCACAGACGCCGUCAUAUCGUUCAAGACAGCCAUAUGGUUUUGGAUGACCCCACAAGGAAAGAAACCAUCUAGCCAUGAUGUCAUCAUUGAAAAAUGGAAACCCUCCCCUGCUGACACUGCAGUUGGUCGAAAAUCAGGUUAUGGUGUAAUCACCAACAUUAUCAAUGGUGGGAAAGAAUGUGGCCAUGGAUAUAAUGAUAAUGUGUUUAAUAGGAUUCGUUUCUAUACGAGGUACUCUGACAUGUUGGGAGUAGACUAUGGGAAGAACUUAGAUUGCUAUAAUCAAACGUCUUUUAGCUUGGGUGACCGAGAAUGUGCUCGCAUGACCAAGAAUUCCAAUUUCACACUACCAAACUUGUCUUUGAAUUUAGCCCUCAAUACCUGUUCUUUCUUCUUGCUUGGUUGUAAUGGCGAUGUAAGCAGCCUCAUCAGCUCGUCUCUUUUUGAAAGUAUGCUUAAACAUCGAAACGAUCAAGGAUGUAGUAAUGGAUUCUACACUUACAAUGCUUUCAUAACUGCCGCCCAAUCUUUCAGUGCCUUUGGCACAACUGGUGAUGUUACUACACGUAAAAGGGAGCUUGUGGCUUUCUUUGGUCAAACCUCUCAUGAGACCACAGGAGGGUGGUCUACUGCACCUGAUGGGGAUAUUGCUUUGUUAGGGAAGUUAACAGGCAAUCUGGAGAUCAAUAUUAUGGUUGAGGACCUAUCCAACUUACUCACAACUACAACUACGAUCAAGCAGGUAAAGCCAUUGGAGUUGAUCUCAUAAACAAUUUAGAUCUUGUAGCCACAGACCCCACCAUAUCGUUCAAGACAGCCAUAUGGUUUUGGAUGACCCCGCAAGCAAACAAGCCAUCUAGCCACGAUGUCAUCAUUGGAAAUUGGAGACCUUCUUCUUCUGACACUUCAGCUGGUCGAGUGCCAGGUUAUGGUGUAAUCACCAACAUUAUCAAUGGUGGGAUCGAAUGUGGCCAUGGAUAUAAUGAUAAUGUGGCUAAUAGGAUUGGUUUCUAUAAGAGGUACUUUGACAUAUUGGGAGUAGGCUACGGGAACAACUUAGAUUGCAAUAAUCAAAGGUCUUUUGCCUAAAUAGCUCUGGUCCAGAGCAAGAAAAUGGUCAGCCAAGUACAAUAUGACGACCAUAUAAAUGUAUGAUCAUGAAUUGGAGAUUUUCUUAUUCAAUGAGAAAUCUCUAAACUUAUACAUAAAUAAAGAAGAAUUAUAUAAAUUUGGGUUA